This 405-nucleotide long non-coding RNA is filed under the name Elaeis guineensis (African oil palm). Its description in RNAcentral is "long non-coding RNA (EGUI_LNC065996)". The record is from RNAcentral. Lineage: Eukaryota; Viridiplantae; Streptophyta; Magnoliopsida; Arecales; Arecaceae.
GCUAGUGGGGGCUUAUCCAUCAGCAAAACUUGGGAGACGUUGUCGGAGGUCGGAAGUCGGAAGUCGGUUGGAUCCCCGGAGGGUCACUCCUGUCACGAACUUCGGCUGGGGGUAUUUUAUACCCAACAACCUGAAUGUCUCUACCAUAGUUCUAUUAGGAGAAAAGGUGAAUCCUAUAGUAUGUCGAUCCCAAUAGAUAGAUUAGAUUUAGGGAAGACUAUCCAAGUGCCAACAAUCUAAGAAUCUACCUUCGGGUGGGAUAAUUUGCAUCGACUAUAGGGUUUCUCAGAGUUUAGAAGGUGGACUCCUAGAGUGUAUAGGAUUCUAGAAGACAAGCCGUCUGAUUUUUAGUGGUCUGCAAGUAAAGACUGUAAUUUCUUCUAAUCCACAAACGAAAUAGCCCUC